CGCUGGCGGCGUGCCUAACACAUGCAAGUCGCACGAGAAAGUGGAGCAAUCCAUGAGUAAAGUGGCGCACGGGUGAGUAACACGUGAAUGAUCUACCUCCGAGUGGGGAAUAACCUAGAGAAAUCUGGGCUAAUACCGCAUAACACUUACGAGUCAAAGCAGCAAUGCGCUUGGAGAGGAGUUCGCGGCCGAUUAGUUAGUUGGCGGGGUAAUGGCCCACCAAGACGAUGAUCGGUAUCCGGCCUGAGAGGGCGCACGGACACACUGGAACUGAAACACGGUCCAGACUCCUACGGGAGGCAGCAGUGGGGAAUUUUGCGCAAUGGGGGAAACCCUGACGCAGCAACGCCGCGUGGAGGAUGAAAUCCCUUGGGAUGUAAACUCCUUUCGAUCGGGACGAUUAUGACGGUACCGGAAGAAGAAGCCCCGGCUAACUUCGUGCCAGCAGCCGCGGUAAUACGAGGGGGGCAAGCGUUGUUCGGAAUUAUUGGGCGUAAAGGGCGCGUAGGCGGUUUGACAAGUCUGAUGUGAAAUCUCUGGGCUCAACUCAGAGUCUGCAUUAGAAACUGUCGGGCUAGAGUAUGGGAGAGGUGCGUGGAAUUUCCGGUGUAGCGGUGAAAUGCGUAGAUAUCGGAAGGAACACCUGUGGCGAAAGCGGCGCGCUGGACCAUA
This 672-nucleotide ribosomal RNA is filed under the name uncultured bacterium. Its description in RNAcentral is "bacterial SSU rRNA". It matches the Rfam family "Bacterial small subunit ribosomal RNA", at positions 34 to 738 of the family's 1533-position model. The record is from RNAcentral.